AAGAAAGUUGGUUUCAUGGACUUAUGUUAUAGAACGCGAACUAUAAGAAUUAAAAUUAAGUUUAAACCAAUGUAUAAGUCAAGUAUAUGACUAAUUGGUAUAUGUUAUUCCUUAUGUGAUAUAUAGGAAUUUCAAAGAGCCGUACAUCAUAAAUUGUAAUUGUAUACAGCGCUUAAGGUAAGUUUACUAACUUCAUUCAUAUUUGAAAUGAAUGCUAGUUUCUUUAAGCUUGCUCGGAUGUUGUAAAUGAGUAAGUUUGAUCUAUGUGAAAAUGUAUUAUAUUUGUACAAGAUGUUUAUGAUGUAUGAGGCUAUGUACCUCUUCUAUGCACUUAUGUGCUUUCGGAAGAUGAACUGUUCUGUGUUAGAACUGCUCAAAUGUAAAAGAGUUCUAUUUAUUCAUGAAUUGUUAAUGUUAAGUCUAUGCUAAUGAUUUUAGCUAGAGAGAAUGUAAAAGAAUAGAGUAUAAGAAUUGAGGUUUUGUCAAAGCGAAUGCAUUGAUGUUUUAAAAUGAUAGAAAUCAAAAUUUAUUCCUAUUAUUCAAG
RNAcentral lists this long non-coding RNA (544 nucleotides) under Panax ginseng (ginseng). RNAcentral describes it as "long non-coding RNA (PGIN_LNC017875)". Lineage: Eukaryota; Viridiplantae; Streptophyta; Magnoliopsida; Apiales; Araliaceae. The record is from RNAcentral.